AGGGCGUAUAGUGAAUGCCUUGGUUCUUGAUGGCGACGAAAGACGUGAACUGCCUGCGAUAAGCUUCGGUGAGGUGGCAAUUAACCUGUGACCCGGAGAUCUCUGAAUGGGGAAACCCAUCCGUAUUUAAAUGACGGAUAUCCAUUGUAUGAUGGAAGCAAACCUAGGGAAGUGAAACAUCUCAGUACCUAGAGGAAAAGAAAACAAAUGUUAUUUCCUGAGUAGCGGCGAGCGAAACGGAAUCUAGCCCAAACCCGAAUAAGCUCGCUGUAGUUAAUAUAGCAAUAUAUUGAAUAUAGCGAGCUGAAUCGGGGGUUGUAGGACAUUGAAGUCGUAAAGACAAAAAGUUACAAAAUCUUUGAAUAGGUGAAACAUCUGGAAAGGUGUGGCAUAGAGGGUGACAUCCCCGUAACCGAAAUUUGAAGAUCUUUUACAAUGUUCCUGAGUACUUCGAGACACGAAUAGCUCGGAGGAAUCUGCCGGAACUAACCGGUAAGGCUAAAUACAUCAAGAGACCGAUAGUGAACUAGUACCGUGAGGGAAAGGUGAAAAGAACCCCUGUGAGGGGAGUGAAAUAGAUCUGAAACCAUACGCCUACAAGGAGUCGGAGCGGUUGUUUACAACCGUCACGGCGUGCCUAUUGAAGAAUGAGCCAACGAGUGUAUGCAUGCGGCAGGCUAAGUGCUAUAAAAGCAUGGAGCCAUAGGGAAACCGAGUCUGAAUAGGGCGAAAUUAAUGUCGUACGCAUACGACCCGAAGCCAGGUGAGCUUACCAUGGGCAGGGUGAACCCCGUAGAAAUAUGGGGGGAGGCCCGAACCAGUUGGUCGUACGAUUCCUUUGGAUGACCUGUGGUAAGGAGUGAAAAGCUAAUCGAACCUGGUAAUAGCUGGUUCUCUCCGAAAUAUAUUUUGGUAUAGCGUUAUGUGUUCCCUCUGGGGGUAGAGCACUGGCUGGUUUGGACAGGGUGAAAGCUCGCCAAACCUAUCAACCUCCGAAUACCAGAUGGUAAAUAGCAUAGCAGUCAGACAGUGGGGGCGAAGCUCCACGAGUCGAAAGGGAAACAGCCCUGGAUCUCAAGUUAAGGUCCCUAAAUCUACAUUAAGUGCACUUAAGGAGGUGAAAUUUCUCCGACAAUGAGGAGGUUGGCUUAGAAGCAGCCAUCCUUUAAAGAAAGCGUAACAGCUCACUCAUCUAGAGAAUUCGCGCCGCAAAUAAUCGGGGCUAAAAUGUAGUACCGAAGCUGAGGGUUUGUGCAUUUCAUAGAGAAAGUAAAUCUAUGGCACAUGGUCAGGAUAAUGAAAAACGUCUUAGUGCUAGCUACCCUUUUGAAGGUAGCGAUGCAGCAUCCGUUUUUCUUGUCCCGACCUCCAUAGAAUUUCUCUGGUAACUUUUUAUAAAAAAUAAAGUUGCUUUUUCCAUGAAAUGCAUAAGCGGUAGGAGAGUAUUGUACUCUGCGAUGAAGCGGAAGGCGUGAGCCACCGUGGAGCGUGUACAAGUAAGAAUGUUGGCACAAGUAACCACAAGACGGGUGAAAUCCCUGUCCGCCGAAAGACUAAGGUUUCCGCUGCUAUGUCAAUCAACAGCGGGUUAGUCGGGCCUAAGGAGAUGGCGAUAGCCGCAUCCGAUGGACACAUGGUUAAUAUUCCAUGACUUUAUUGCAAGCGAUGGAGGGACGGAGAACAUAAUUCCCCACGCAUUAUUGGAUUUGACGCUCGUACUGGUAGAGAGGAUAUUUAGGAAAAUCCGGAUAUCACAUACUCUCGAAAGAGCGACGACUGGAGCCCUCGGGUUCCAGAAGGGGGAAGAAUAGUCUUCCAAGAAAAUCUUCUAGCAUUCAAUUGCAAUGAAUCCGUACCGUAAACCGACACAGGUAGUCAGGUCGAGUAGACCAAGGCGAACGAGUGAGUAAUCCUCAAGGAACUCGGCAAAAAAGCAGCCGUAACUUUGGAAUAAGGCUUGCCCAUGUUUAACUACAUGGGCCGCAGCGAAAGUAUCUCUGGCGACUGUUUAUCAAAAACACAGCUCCCUGCGAAAUCGUAAGAUGAUGUAUAGGGGGUGACACCUGACCAAUGCCAGAAGGUUAAAUAUCGGUGGUGUACAACAUCCAGCGCGUGAUCAAUUGAUCGUGCAUUGAAUGUUGUAUGCUGGCUGAUAUAAGCCCUGGUGAAUGUCGGCCGUAACUAUAACGGUCCUAAGGUAGCGAAAUACCUUGUCGGGUAAAUUCCGACGCGCACGAAUGGUGUAACGACUGGAGAACUGUCUCGAGGAUUAGCUCGGUGAAAAUACAAUACCGGUGAAGAUGCCGGUUACCUGCAGUUAGACGAAAAGACCCCGGGAGCUUUACUAUAGCUUCACAUUGGGCAUAUUGGAAUUGUGCGUAGCAUAGGUGGGAGAGGUUAUGCGUAUGGUCUUGGCUAUACGAUACUCGUCAGUGAAAUACCACUCUCAAUUUUGAUAUGUCCUAACCUGGACGAAAAAACGUUCAGAGACAGUGUGUGGUGGGUAGUUUGUUUGGGGCGAAUCCCUCCUAAAUUGUAACGGAGGGGCCUAUAAAGGUCAGCUAGGCGUGAAUGGAAACCAUGCCGAUAGUGUAAUGGCACAAGCUGGCUUGACUGCAAGACGUACAUGUCGAGCAGGUGCGAAAGCAGAGCAUAGUGAACCGACCUAACGCUUUAGAUGCGUGGGAAGAUCAACGGAUAAAAGCUACCCCGGGGAUAACAGGCUAGUAUCGCCCGAGAGUUCAUAUCGACGGCGGUGUUCGGCACCUCGAUGUCGGCUCAUCUUAUCCUGGGGCUGGAGAAGGUCCCAAGGGUUUGGCUGUUCGCCAAUUAAAAAGAUACGCGAGCUGGGUUCAGACCGUUUAGGAGUUGUCAUUAUUGUAUUUAUAUAAUCUUAAUGACUCCUAUACAGUCUGAAUCAAGUUCUGAAAUACGACACAAUCAGGUUUUUUCGUUUUAAUAAAUAAUAAAAAUAGAUAGUACCAAUCAUUGCGGCGGCAUUAUAUGGCGACAUAUAUUGCAUAUUCAACUGAUAUCGGAAAAGUCCCAAUCAUUUUAUGAUGGAUAAUUCCGAGGGAAGGUUUGCAAAAACCACCCGUAGAGACUGAACGUUGAAACACUCACGAAG
RNAcentral lists this ribosomal RNA (3127 nucleotides) under activated sludge metagenome. Its description in RNAcentral is "bacterial LSU rRNA". It matches the Rfam family "Bacterial large subunit ribosomal RNA". The record is from RNAcentral.